Molecule: non-coding RNA, 796 nt
Organism: Cyanistes caeruleus (blue tit)
Lineage: Eukaryota; Metazoa; Chordata; Aves; Passeriformes; Paridae
Source: RefSeq, a predicted model, not a curated record
CAACCGCUCUACAAGGCGGCCACAGAAGCCCAGCAGAGAGCAGGGAUGCCUCAUGCACACUCACCAGCUCCAUUGUUAUAAGGUCAUCUUCAAGGACUGGUUUUGGACUUCCCCUGGAAAAGCCAGAAGGGAGGCGGAUUUUCUUCCAGCAUGGGGGAAUCUGAGCAUGACCACACGGAAACAAACACUAAGUAUUCUGGCCCCUUCCUUGCCAGAACCAGUUCCUCCUUGUAAUUAACCUUGCAAUUAACCAUUUAUCACGUACACAAAGAAAUACUGAAGUCAAAAGGACACUUCCAGCUUGUGUGAAUUCAAAUUGGGAGUUCACAGGCAGGCAAUCGGUCUUGCUGUCCUCCUCGAAGCUGAAGCACAGAACCACGCUCCGAUGUGCAGCCUUUUGCAGCUGCACCAGCCCCCUGUGUCAGCAGCUUGAACCUGCAUGUACCCCUUGCUGACUUGAGCACAGCCAGAGGACAGCUGCAAAGAGCCAAGGAUUUCCUCACUAAGAUAUGAUGGUACACAACAGCACACAGAUAUUUAAAGCUAUGCUGAAUUUUGGUUUGAGGCAGAGCCAACAUUUUUGUCUUCCUGUUAUAUUACAGUGUUAUAGGGCUUAAUAGAAGGAUCGUGUAGAAACUGCAAUGAUAAUGCCAUAUGAAAUUUAUCCUAUAAAUCAGUGGGGUAAUAAAUUUUAACCCAUAAAUGCAAAUAUGUUGCUGCUACAACAGCCUGAAUACUCUCGUGUAAAGUCUCAGAUGACAAAGUAGGAGGUAGAAGAAAAAAAAAGGAGGAAAAA